Molecule: RNA transcript, 4599 nt
Organism: Oncorhynchus keta (chum salmon)
Lineage: Eukaryota; Metazoa; Chordata; Actinopteri; Salmoniformes; Salmonidae
Exons: 8
Source: RefSeq, a predicted model, not a curated record
UUCACACACGCUGGCUGGACUACUGUACGCAAGUAGAGCAGUGAUUGGACCAGGGCUCUGCCAGUCAAUGAACAAAUCCCCUCUGACUUCCUCUCCUCCUUUCCUAAUGCAGCAUGGGCUGAGAGGGAGGGGAGUUGAUCUGUCUUCACAGCCUGCCUCAGCUCAGCUCGCCACCUGCCCUUGAGUUACUGUGAAUAGACAAGACAGAGAGGAAGUCGUUCUGUAGUCUGGCUCUUGUAAACCAUAUCUCUGCUGUGUUUUUAUCCCUGGGCUGUUUAGAUUUUUUCCGCUCUCUGCUCUGGGGGUGGAGUGGAGCGUUUGUCCCUGGCUGGCGGAGCUCCGAUGGGAGGCAGCGCUGCCUCUGUCUGGGACUGGGGAUGCUGAACGGGGGAAGGGAGGGCCUGUUUCAACUGGGACAGCAGCUCCAGCAACAGGGGGAGUACCAGGCCGCCCUCCACUGCUUCCUUAGCUCUCUGCUGGGGUUAAGGCACGUGCAGAGCUUCACUUCGCUGCCCAACUGCCUUCACCAGAUUGCGGAACUCUUCAUCUCCGAAAAUAAUUACGGCAAGGCCCUGCAGUUCAUUCAGGCUGAGAAGAUGUUCUACGAGGUUUCUCUAAUUGAGCUCACUGCUGUUCAGGGGAGCACAGGCAAGUAUAUUUGCAUCUGUAAAAUGGUGGCAUCCACAAGUUCAGCUUCUCACCAUCUGACAACUAUAUCAGAAGGGGGCCAUCGUCAGUAACGUUUUGUCGUGGAUCUGGGUUGGCCACCCACUCAUUGCCCACCAUUGUGCAUAGGUACAAGGAGUGACGAAGGAUGCCGUUUAAGUACUAUGAGGGUGGUUGAUGAAGCAAUUGGACUCAGGUGAGUGAGGCAGGCUUUUGGCUAAUGAAGAUUGGAUGCAGGUGAGCAAAUUGGCAUGGGUACUGCUCUACGUCCAUAUAUGGAUUUCCUUGCCGCUCUGCCGCCUUCCAUUGUGGAUGUCUGGACCCAUAUAUGGAGUUCCUGCUACAGGGCCGCAUUCCAGUAUGAAUGUUGUUAUCCAUGUAUGGAAUUCUGCAUUCCAAUAUGGGAAGUCUGAGUCCAUAUAGGGAGUUCCUGCGCCAAGGCUGCAUUCCAAUACAGAAGAACAAGCACAUAUAUGGAAGUUCCUGUUGUGGAUUAGGUAUGUCAUCUGAAGCUUAAAGCUGUCCUCCCAAAACUGUGUUAUAAACUACACUUAGCACUCUAACUGGGUGAUUAAGGGGUGCCCUAACGAAAUUCUAUUGCUGUAAGCUAUCAAUUGUAGUAUACAGUAUGGUGUCUGUCUGUCUGUCUGUCUGUCUGUCUGUCUGUCUGUCUGUCUGUCUGUCGGCUGCUGAUUCAACAGUAGUUCAGUGUAGCAUGGUCUGUCUGUCUGUCUGUCUCUGUCUGUCUGUCUGUCUCUGUCUGUCUGUCUGUCUGGAGGCUGCUGAUUCAACAGCAGUUCAGUGUAGCAUUGUCUGUCAGACAGACAGACAGACAGACAGGCUGCUGAUUCAACAGCAGUUCAGUGUAGCAUGGGCAGGAGGUAGCAGGAGUUAUGGGAUGGACAGGGAAGACAAAUGGCCAUGUUAGGCAUUAUCUCAUAAGGAGUUGUGUGGCGCCAUGGAAUACUGAGGCCCCUGAUUCAGCACUGUGCCAGCUGCUCUGUUUCUCUCUCCUGGGGCAAUGCUGGCAUCACAAUCACUCCACCAGCCUUCUCUCUCUCUCUUCAAUCUCCUGUUCAAACCUCAGCCCAUUUCCAUCUCAUUUUGAUUAUCUGACAGAUAUUGGACCUACUCUAUUUUCAAUGCUUUCUAUUCUUUUCCCUCAUCCUGUUAAAAGUUUCUGUCUCCUUAUUGCCAUUUCUGAACCACUUUACUUUUCAGUUUACCUCUCCAACGUUAGGCUGGAAAAACCUUUAUGGAGGAUAAUCUCCACUCCCACCAUUGUCAGCUCAGGUGUUUGUGUCUGUGUGAACAGGUAGCUGUGCCACUGCUUUUGUGGGUGUGGUAAGUGCGCUGUUUGCACUCACAGUAUCCUCUCCCUUCCCUCGUCCCUCUGCUCUCUAUCUGACGUCUCCUGCUCACUAUCCUGUUGGCUCCACUGUACCCUGCUGUUCAGACUCCACUCUCAUCUCCACACUGCCAGCCCUGCCAGAGAUCACAUCACCAGCAUUUUGCAUUCUGUUUACUUGCUAUGUAGAGUGACAGAGGGAGUUAAAGGGAUAUAAAGAGCGAGAGAAGGAUAGAGCGUGAGCAAGAGGGAUCGAGACAGACGUUAGCGGGCGGCUGAUUACAUGCCCUGUGUGUGUGUAACAGGCCCCCAGAAGGAGGCUUUGCUGGGCUCGUCUGGGACAGGAUGGGCAUCCCCAGAGGAGCUAUCGGAUCAGGCCUCCCAGGCACAGCAUUUUGAGCGGCUGGCCCAGCUUUGCAUCAUGAGUAAAAGGUACGUAGAGUUAACAAGAAUAACGCAAAUGUCCUCUCUUGCAAUAAGGGCAGUGCUGUUUAGUAUUGUUGGUCUUCCUCUCAUUAAAUGAGACAACUUUGCUGUUUCUGUUCUGCUGGCUUUUCUGAACUGGUGUUGGUAAUUACUGGGUUUCAAGUAUGGAGGGAUGAGAAAGUAGAUAUUAAUACUAUGCCUGAUAUAGACAGCACAAUAUAUACUGAUACUGUAGGUGUUUUUGCUUGUUGUUAAAAGCUCCAAAAGGCUGUAGUUAUAUUUACUAGAUGCUGUAUUUUGAUAUCUUGGCUAGCUCUGUUCCCCUUUACUUUUGACAGGCUGUAUGAGUGUAUAAUAUCUUUACAAAAUGAAAAACAGUGAUACUGUCAUUCAGACAUGAGGCUAUUUCAUUGAGGCAUUGUUCGCUUUCUGUAGUUUUAAAUUGGACGUUUCUGAAUGAUGUGCUUAUUUCUAACAGAAAUCUACAGUAUUUAAACUGUAUGCUAUCUCACAUCUUAAAGUGAUACUCAUUUCCAUAUUGCCCCACCCCCAGAUUGUUAGUGAAAGAUGGGUUUAUAUGUUUAUAGUGCUUUGAAAAUAUGUCAUCAGGAUGAAAAUGUACCUCGCCAAAAUAAACCAGUGCACAAAGAAAUGUUUGCAUCUGUGGCCCUCAUGCAAAAACCACAGAGGUGAAUUUACCUGUAGAGGUGGAGCAAAGGGACAACAUCCCUAAUGGGAGUUUCAAGUGUUACCAGAACACAUUGAUCUGAUGUCCUUGAUGCUGGGGUAUUCUGGUAGGCCACAAAGACAGGAUCAUACACAUUGAUCUGAUGUCCUUGAUGCUGGGGUAUUCUGGUAGGCCACAAAGACAGGAACAUACACAUUGAUCUGAUGUCCUUGAUGCUGGGGUAUUCUGGUAGGCCACAAAGACAGGAACAUACACAUUGAUCUGAUGUCCUUGAUGCUGGGGUAUUCUGGUAGGCCACAAAGACAGGAACAUACACAUUGAUCUGAUGUCCUUGAUGCUGGGGUAUUCUGGUAGGCCACAAAGACAGGAACAUACACAUUGAUCUGAUGUCCUUGAUGCUGGGGUAUUCUGGUAGGCCACAAAGACAGGAACAUACACAUUGAUCUGAUGUCCUUGAUGCUGGGGUAUUCUGGUAGGCCACAAAGACAGGAACAUACACAUUGAUCUGAUGUCCUUGAUGCUGGGGUAUUCUGGUAGGCCACAAAGACAGGAACAUACACAUUGAUCUGAUGUCCUUGAUGCUGGGGUAUUCUGGUAGGUCACAAAGACAGGAACAUACACAUUGAUCUGAUGUCCUUGAUGCUGGGGUAUUCUGGUAGGCCACAAAGACAGGAACAUACACAUUGAUCUGAUGUCCUUGAUGCUGGGGUAUUCUGGUAGGCCACAAAGACAGGAACAUACACAUUGAUCUGAUGUCCUUGAUGCUGGGGUAUUCUGGUAGGUCACAAAGACAGGAACAUACACAUUGAUCUGAUGUCCUUGAUGCUGGGGUAUUCUGGUAGGCCACAAAGACAGGAUCAUACACAUUGAUCUGAUGUCCUUGAUGCUGGGGUAUUCUGGUAGGUCACAAAGACAGGAUCAUACACAUUGAUCUGAUGUCCUUGAUGCUGGGGUAUUCUGGUAGGUCACAAAGACAGGAACAUACACAUUGAUCUGAUGUCCUUGAUGCUGGGGUAUUCUGGUAGGCCACAAAGACAGGAACAUACACAUUGAUCUGAUGUCCUUGAUGCUGGGGUAUUCUGGUAGGCCACAAAGACAGGAACAUACACAUUGAUCUGAUGUCCUUGAUGCUGGGGUAUUCUGGUAGGCCACAAAGACAGGAGCAUACACAUUUAUUUGCCCCUCCUGUCAAUGUUUGGAAGAUUAGAGAAUUUAGCCUAAUUGGCUUGAUAGGAUGGAAGGGGGUAACAGGUAUCCUGACUACUCAAGCUAAAUUCUUCUGCUGCUCCGUCGUUCACUACAUACGAGUCUAAGAUUGCUGUCAUUGAAGUCGUUUUUGGUGAUGAGGUGCACGAAGGGUGUCGUUCAAAACAAAGUAAUCAGUGAUUGAAUCGUCUCUAACCCAUCACAGUAACAAAGCCAAUGACCAAUUUUCAAACUAUCGCUUUACCCACGUGCGUUCUGGCUCUGG